Molecule: ribosomal RNA, 972 nt
Filed under: uncultured archaeon
Lineage: Archaea
Description: bacterial SSU rRNA
Rfam family: Archaeal small subunit ribosomal RNA
Source: RNAcentral
ACUGCUCAGUAACACGUGGACAACCUGCCCUUAGGUUGGGUAUAAACCCGGGAAACUGGGUAUAAUACCCGAUAGGUCUCGAUUGCUGGAAUGCAUCGAGAUUUAAAGCUCCGGCGCCUAAGGAUGGGUCUGCGGCCUAUCAGGUAGUAGUGGGUGUAGCGUACCUACUAGCCUACGACGGGUACGGGUUGUGAGAGCAAGAGCCCGGAGAUGGAUUCUGAGACACGAAUCCAGGCCCUACGGGGUGCAGCAGGCGCGAAAACUUUACAAUGCUGGCAACAGCGAUAAGGGAACCUCGAGUGCCAGGUUACAAAUCUGGCUGUCGAGAUGCCUAAAAAGCAUUUCAUAGCAAGGGCCGGGCAAGACCGGUGCCAGCCGCCGCGGUAACACCGGCGGCUCGAGUGGUAACCGUUAUUAUUGGGUCUAAAGGGUCUGUAGCCGGCCGGAUAAGUCUCUUGAGAAAUCUGGCAGCUUAACUGUCAGGCUUUCAGGAGAUACUGUCUGGCUCGAGGCCGGGAGAGGUGAGAGGUACUUCAGGGGUAGGGGUGAAAUCUUGUAAUCCUUGAAGGACCACCAGUGGCGAAGGCGUCUCACCAGAACGGACCUGACGGCAAGGGACGAAAGCUAGGGGCACGAACCGGAUUAGAUACCCGGGUAGUCCUAGCCGUAAACGAUACUCGCUAGGUGUCGGCCACGGUGCGACCGUUGUCGGUGCCGUAGGGAAGCCGUGAAGCGAGCCACCUGGGAAGUACGGCCGCAAGGCUGAAACUUAAAGGAAUUGGCGGGGGAGCACCACAACGGGUGGAGCUUGCGGUUUAAUUGGAUUCAACGCCGGAAAUCUUACCGGGACCGACAGCAAUAUGAAGGCCAGGCUGAAGACUUUGCCGGAUUAGCUGAGAGGUGGUGCAUGGCCGUCGUCAGUUCGUACUGUGAAGCAUCCUGUUAAGUCAGGCAACGAGCGAGACCCCCACC